AUUGAACGCUGGCGGCAGGCCUAACACAUGCAAGUCGAGCGGCAGCGACAUGAUAGAAGCUUCGGUGGAAAUUAUGGGCGGCGAGCGGCGGACGGGUGAGUAAUGCCUGGGAAUAUGCCCUGAUGUGGGGGAUAACCAUUGGAAACGAUGGCUAAUACCGCAUAAUCUCUUCGGAGCAAAGAGGGGGACCUUCGGGCCUCUCGCGUCAGGAUUAGCCCAGGUGGGAUUAGCUAGUUGGUGAGGUAAAGGCUCACCAAGGCGACGAUCCCUAGCUGGUCUGAGAGGAUGAUCAGCCACACUGGAACUGAGACACGGUCCAGACUCCUACGGGAGGCAGCAGUGGGGAAUAUUGCACAAUGGGGGAAACCCUGAUGCAGCCAUGCCGCGUGUAUGAAGAAGGCCUUCGGGUUGUAAAGUACUUUCAGCAGUGAGGAAGGUGGUGUCGUUAAUAGCGG
Molecule: ribosomal RNA, 455 nt
Filed under: uncultured bacterium
Lineage: Bacteria
Description: bacterial SSU rRNA
Rfam family: Bacterial small subunit ribosomal RNA
Source: RNAcentral